This 510-nucleotide ribosomal RNA is filed under the name Salmonella enterica subsp. enterica serovar Enteritidis. RNAcentral's name for it is "partial 23S ribosomal RNA". It matches the Rfam family "Bacterial large subunit ribosomal RNA", at positions 689 to 1197 of the family's 2925-position model. The record is from RNAcentral. Lineage: Bacteria; Pseudomonadati; Pseudomonadota; Gammaproteobacteria; Enterobacterales; Enterobacteriaceae.
CGGGCGUUAAGUUGCAGGGUAUAGACCCGAAACCCGGUGAUCUAGCCAUGGGCAGGUUGAAGGUUGGGUAACACUAACUGGAGGACCGAACCGACUAAUGUUGAAAAAUUAGCGGAUGACCUGUGGCUGGGGGUGAAAGGCCAAUCAAACCGGGAGAUAGCUGGUUCUCCCCGAAAGCUAUUUAGGUAGCGCCUCGUGAAUUCAUCUCCGGGGGUAGAGCACUGUUUCGGCUAGGGGGCCAUCCCGGCUUACCAACCCGAUGCAAACUGCGAAUACCGGAGAAUGUUAUCACGGGAGACACACGGCGGGUGCUAACGUCCGUCGUGAAGAGGGAAACAACCCAGACCGCCAGCUAAGGUCCCAAAGUCAUGGUUAAGUGGGAAACGAUGUGGGAAGGCCCAGACAGCCAGGAUGUUGGCUUAGAAGCAGCCAUCAUUUAAAGAAAGCGUAAUAGCUCACUGGUCGAGUCGGCCUGCGCGGAAGAUGUAACGGGGCUAAACCAUGCACCGA